GACGAACGCUGGCGGCGUGCUUAACACAUGCAAGUCGAGCGGUAAGGCCCUUUCGGGGGUACGACGAGCGGCGAACGGGUGAGUAACACGUGGGUGACCUGCCCUUAGCUCUGGGAUAAGCCUGGGAAACGUGGGUCGUAAUACCGGAUAUGACUCCAUAACGCAUGUUGUGGGGUGGAAAGCCUUGUGCGGCUAGGGAUGGCCCGCGGCCUAUCAGCUUGUUGGUGGGGUGAUGGCCNGCCAAGGCGACGACGGGUAGCCGGCCUGAGAGGGCGACCGGCCACACUGGGACUGAGACACGGCCCAGACUCCUACGGGAGGCAGCAGUGGGGAAUCUUGCGCAAUGGGCGAAAG
RNAcentral lists this ribosomal RNA (354 nucleotides) under uncultured bacterium. RNAcentral describes it as "bacterial SSU rRNA". It matches the Rfam family "Bacterial small subunit ribosomal RNA", at positions 28 to 381 of the family's 1533-position model. The record is from RNAcentral.